RNAcentral lists this ribosomal RNA (527 nucleotides) under Thamiocolus grancanariensis. Its description in RNAcentral is "partial 16S ribosomal RNA". It matches the Rfam family "Bacterial large subunit ribosomal RNA", at positions 1809 to 2611 of the family's 2925-position model. The record is from RNAcentral. Lineage: Eukaryota; Metazoa; Arthropoda; Insecta; Coleoptera; Curculionidae.
AAAAACAUGGCCUUUUGAGUUUUAUUUAAGGUCUAGCCUGCUCAAUGAGUUUUAAAUAGCCGCAGUAUCCUGACUGUGCGAAGGUAGCAUAAUCAUUAGUUUUUUAAUUGAAAGCUGGAAUGAAAGGUCGAAUGAGAAAAUAGCUGUCUCUAUAAAAAUUAUAUAGAAUUUUAUUUUUGAGUUAAAAAGCUUAAAUAUUAGUAAAAGACGAGAAGACCCUGUAGAGUUUUAUACUUAUAAAAAAUUUCUUUUUCAGUAUUUUAAAAUUGAUUUUUUUAUAGUAUUUGGUUGGGGUGAUUAGAAAAUUUAGUAAACUUUUCUUUUAAUAGUACAUUUAUUUAUGAAAAUAUGAUCCUUUGUUUAGAUUAUAAGAUUAAAUUACCUUAGGGAUAACAGCGUAAUUUUUUUUGAGAGUUCUUAUCGAAAAGAAAGAUUGCGACCUCGAUGUUGGAUUAAAAUAAAUUUUUGGUGUAGAAGCUAAAGUAAUUAGGUCUGUUCGACCUUUAAAAUUUUACUUGAUCUGAGUU